GACCCUUGAGUGUUUUAGUGUUUAGUGUUUUUAAUUUAGAGUUUAUGAUUUAUCCAAGUGUAUAGGGUUUAUCCAAGGGUUUAGGGUUUCGGGAUUAGGAUUUAGGGUUUAGUUUUUUCUUAAAAAUAUUUUUUUUGUAAUUGCUACUAUUUUUAUUUUUUAUUUUUUUUAUCUUUUUAUUUUAAAAACAUAAUAUAACUUGACAAUAUUUUGUUUCUUUUUAUAAAAGAUAUCAAAUUUGAAAUAACAUAAUCCUAUUGGUUGGUUCCUCUAGGGGGUGAACCCAAGAAUAAGUCGUUUCAUAGGGAGAAAAUUUGUCCAGUUAUAAAUGAUGGUCUGUUAAUUAAUGUUUGAUUAAGAGUUCAUUAAUGAAGUUUCCUUAAUCCAAUGGUUUGACUAAGUCUAUUAAUGUGGAAGCCUCUUUAGUCUAGUUAUUUGAGUAAGAGUUCAUUAAUGCUUCUAUAUCAUCAUGUCCAGAUUUUAAUUCCUGGAAAAAAAUAAUUUAUUAAAUAAUUAUGCAGGCUAUGGAGGAAAGACUUACAAGAAAUCUUCAACAUGGUGCAAGUAAACUUGGUGAAACGUAAAUUUUCAUAGGACGGAUCUGAUGAUGCAGUUAGACGUAGAUCUUCAUAAAAUAUGUAAUAUUAUUGGUUGUCAGAUCGUCUGUAUAAUCUUUUU
RNAcentral lists this long non-coding RNA (678 nucleotides) under Brassica rapa (field mustard). Its description in RNAcentral is "long non-coding RNA (BRAP_LNC006665)". Lineage: Eukaryota; Viridiplantae; Streptophyta; Magnoliopsida; Brassicales; Brassicaceae. The record is from RNAcentral.